UAAUACGGAGGGGGCAAGCGUUGUUCGGAAUUACUGGGCGUAAAGCGCGCGUAGGCGGUUUUUCAAGUUAGGCGUGAAAGCCCUGGGCUCAACCCGGGAAUUGCGCUUAAUACUGGAUGACUUGAGGCCGGGAGAGGGUAGUGGAAUUCCCAGUGUAGAGGUGAAAUUCGUAGAUAUUGGGAAGAACACCAGUGGCGAAGGCGGCUACCUGGACCGGUACUGACGCUGAUGCGCGAAAGCGUGGGGAGCAAACAGGAUUAGAUACCCUGGUAGUCCACGCCGUAAACGAUGAGUGCUAGAUGUUGGGGGACUUAGUUCCUCAGUGUCGAAGCUAACGCGAUAAGCACUCCGCCUGGGGAGUACGGCCGCAAGGUUAAAACUUAAAUGAAUUGACGG
RNAcentral lists this ribosomal RNA (396 nucleotides) under uncultured bacterium. RNAcentral describes it as "bacterial SSU rRNA". It matches the Rfam family "Bacterial small subunit ribosomal RNA", at positions 521 to 916 of the family's 1533-position model. The record is from RNAcentral.